GUUGAUGCUCGAUGUCAAGAUUUUUAUUGAAGAACAAUUGCCUGACGAUCCUGAAAUGACGGUAUCCGUUUCUCUAGAUAUGCAUAUUAUUGUUUGUAAAUAUAAAUUAUAUGAUUGUUUUAAACGUUUAUUUAGUUCAUGCCUUACUGCGAAUAAGCAAACAACCGUGCUUAAGUAGCAAUGCCAACAUUUCAAACUCUGAGUAUAUCUAUUUUGGAGAGGGAUCGAGCAUGAAAAUGUGUUGAUUUUUGCAGCUUAUAUAUGAGGCCUUGAUUCUGUGUUCUAAUAGCAACAAAGAAAUGGAGAUUCUGUGUUCUGCAAAUUUUGUUAUACAGAGUGUCGAUUUCAUUAUGAAUUUGUACAAAAAUAAAAUAGGUAUGUGAUUUGGGUUUUUUGGAAUUUGUUCUUAAUUAUUUAGUAAUUUGAAGUUCUUAUACUUAAUUGUUCAGGAUUUUUGACUAAUUUGAGAUGGGGUUUGCUGCUUCUCAUGCUCCAAUUUUACAUACAGAUAAAGCUACCAGUGUCUAUCUCUCUUUAUAAAGUUUAAUGCAAGAGCGGUGUGUGUUAAGUAAGCUAUAUAAUUUAAUGCAAGAGUGGAGUGUGUUAAGCUAUAUUCUUACCAGUAUCGGUCUCUCUUUAUAUAAUUUAAUGCAAGAGUGGAGUGUGUUAAGCUAUAUUCUUACUGCAUUUAUCACUUCCCAAUCUCUUUUGAGGUCCUCUGAAAUUACAAAGUGGAGUGUUUUAAGCUAUAUUCUUACUGCAUGUAUCACUUUCCCAAUCUCCUUUGAGGUCCUCUAAAAUGGUAAAAAUAAAUUUCUCAUCUUCUUUUUAGUAAUUUUGAUUCUUUGACAGGAAGUUCUUUUAUAGUUGGGAUCAUGAUAAUAUGUUAUGAUUGGCGAGAAGGCGAGAACUCCUGUAUCGUUUGGUAAUUGAAAAUUAAUUCUUACAGCCUACAAAAUUUAUAUGUCAAUAGUUGUGUGUUACCAAAUAGAAUCAAAUUCAAAAGGUGUAGGUACAGUAAAGUAUGCCUACAAAAAUUAGCACCAAGAGUUGCUUGCUUAGGAAGUAGACAAACGAGUAUAUCACUUUAAGGUUUCGAUCCAGGUAGCAACCAUGUCUCUAAGAACAAACGGGGCGAAGUAGGUACAAAGUUUCUGCCGAUACCGAUAAAGGGCGGCAAAGGAGGGAGGACAACAUAGUUGAGAUCCGAAAGAACAAAAGAGAAGAGAGGUUGCUUAAGAUGCGUCGCGAAGGCCUUCAAGCUAACUAAUUAAAUAAUUUCUCCACUGCCUCUGCUUCUCAGCUCGAAAAGAUGGUAUACAUCUAUGUUAUUUUUUUUAUGAAUUUUUUUUAGUUGAUUGAAGGAAUGAUGACUUCAAUCGCAAAUUUUCAUUCCUGAGCUAUUCAGUUAGUUGGCGGUAAAAUCCCCAAUAACAAUGCUUUGUGAGAAGUGUAAGUACCUAUACUCUUUCGUAAUGAUUCUUACAUACAGUAUAUGUUUAAUCAUAUGAUAUUUAUGUUCUAGGAGGCAUAUAUUAUAAUUAAGAUCGAAUUUGAAAGCUAGGGUUUUGAAUUGAGUUGAGUUUAACAGGUGAGAAGAAGUUGUCGAAGGUGAUAGUACCGGAUAAGUGGAAAGAAGGUGCCAACAACGCCACCGAAGGUGGUGGCCGCAAGAUCAACGAGAACAAACUCCUCUCCAUAAAAAACAAGUUUCUCCUUCUCCUUUUCCUUAUCUACAUACGUUUUUCUAUUUGGGCUUAUUUGUUUUUAUAUACAAUUUACAUUGGUUUAAUUGAUGUUGUGUGCUAGAAGUUUACUAACAGGAGUUUUUGAGACCUAGAUUUUAGAUUGAAACCUAAAUUUGCAACCAAGACACAGAUCUAUAUGACUUAAACUGACAGUUGUUAUAAUGUUUGAAUACUGUAAUAUACUACAUUCAUUCCAAAAUAUUAGAUCACUUGGACUUUGUUUUUGCAAGUGGAGUUGUAUUUUGGGAACGGAUGGAGUAUAUGUGAAGCACGAAUACUUAUAUAGAAGGUAGACAUGCUCAUGUUGCACAUGUGUUGGUCCACAAAAAAGUUGGUCAUUAUCUCUCCUAUUUCACUCAAUUCCACUUACGACCUUCACAUAUAUGGGUAAUUGUUCAUCAAACUUUCGAUUACUUUUAAUGCUUUUUUAUGAUUUCUAUUUGUUCUUUGAAAUUAAGAUGUGGGUAUUUAGAAUUUAUCCUUUUAUGCCUAAUAUAGGUCUAAUUAUUUGGAUUUUGCUUUUAACUUAUGGGGCUUUGUAGUUUUUGCUUCCCCAAUUGUGAAAUUUAUUUAUUUUAAUAUUUUUUUUUCUCUAGGGUUCUUCACUCCAUCCCUCUCCUUCGUCCUUUCUUUUGAUUUGUCAUAGAAUUCUGUAUUUAUAAAAAUAUUUAAAUUUUGAUACUAUUAUUGUAAUUUAGGACUAUAUCCCAGCAGUCUUCGAUAAUUUUAGUGCAAAUGUGGUAAUUGAAGGCACUACUGUCAACUUAGGCCUCUGGAACACAGCUGGUAAUAUUUUCACAAUUAGAAUCUUUUGACUAUUUUCUUAAAUAAGCAUGAUUAUUUCAUAAAUUUGGAUUCAAAGGAAAGCAACUUUCUUAAUUUGGGAAGUUUUAUUUAUGGAUGUAUUGAUUUUCUAUCUAAUUCGCAGGGCAAGAAUAUUACAACAGAUUAAGGCCAUUAAGCUAGAGGCACUGAUGUUUUUUUUCCUGACUUUUUCAUUAGUUAGUCGUGCAAGCUAUGAAAAAAAUUCUUAAACAGGUGCAUUACAUUAUCAGCUUCACAUACCAAUUUAAUUACUGUUUUGGUGGGGUUAUUACUAUCUAUUUUGAUCUCUGAUUGACACUUUCUUCCAUGGGCUUCUCUUUACUUUGCUCUAAACAAAUUUCAAUGCACUUCAUUUGUUUGAGAAAAAGCCUAGCUCAAUUUUGUUACUGUAAUUUAUUUUUUUAGUUGUAGUUGUAGUGAUGAUUUUGUUAAACAAUGUCAAAAAGUUUUAUUCAAAGAAAUUUGUGUAGAAACUUAUGGAACCAAAUGGUUUGCUUUACACACGUUUAGAUAUUGAUGAUUUCUACGAUGGUGAAUUUUAUCGUGUAUAGUACAUCUGCACAAGCAUUUAGCCAUUAGAUAGUACAUUAUAUACUGGAAAAGAAGACCUCAGUUCAUACAUGUUUUGUGUUGACUAUCCCAUAAAUUGAUUAGAAAGUUUUGAAGGGCAUAAUUAAUUUACAUGAAUUGUUUACUUCGAAUUUGUUUUUUUAUAUGAAUGUUGAACAAAUUAUUAAAUACAUUAUUUAAAUUAGCCCGUGCAUACCAACUAGUAUAUAUAAGAUUAAAUCUAAUUUACUUUUUCUCGCAGUUAAUUUGGAAACUUUUAAAAUUCUCAAAAGCAAAGGGGGAGAGAAAGGUUACAACGGAAUCAAUUAUUUGGUUUUCCGUUCUGUUUCUAGUCAGGUAUCGGAUCUUGAUCAGUAAUAGUAGGAGCUCUCAGAAAUGGAAGGUUUCGAGGUAAGUCUAGUAAAAACUACUUUAUUAAGAAUUGUUACUAAUUGCAAAAAUGUUAUUUUUAAAAAAUAAAUUUAUGCAAGAAUUUAAUUUUUAAUUUUAACAAAUUAACUAUGAUCAUUUUUAUUAAUUAGACGGAGAGACCUGAUUUUUAAGGAAUUAAUAGCCAUUUGAGAAUAAUGAUAUCAUAAAAGAUAUUAUUAUCCUUAAUUUCACAUAUUUGGAGUUAAAAAAUUACACCUCAAUAUAUAAGUAUAUAUACUUUCCUUUUUCUCAAUGUCAUGUCAGUUUUUUAAUAAGGUGAUAGCUUUGAGGACUAAACUAAUACUCUAAAAAAUAGUGUAGGGAGAUUUUUUUUAAAAAAACAUACAAGGAUUAAAAUAGAGUACAAAGUUCAAAUGUGUUGUUUUACACGUACAAGAUAUAUAUCUAACCACCAUAAUGAUGACAUUAUAUUUAAGAUUAUAUUUUGUGGGGUCACUCGAUCCCACUGAAAAAAAAUUUGCUUUAUAAUAUAAGGUAAAUUUAAUUUUUUUAAAAUAUUAUAUAUAAAUUGACCCCACUAAAAUUUUAUAAAUUUUCUAUUAUACAGGGUCAAAUGAAAAUUUAUAACUUUGUCAAUCAAAUUUUAAUCAUAUAUGACUCAUAUCCUUUCAAUAUAUGUAUCUCUCUAUAAUAUUUUAAACUAAAUAAUAAUCUAAUUUAUAUUAUUUUUAAAAAUAAAUAAUAAAUUACUUAUGAACAGUUGUGAUUAAAAAAGUCUAUUAUGAGUCAAUAUAGUGUAUAUAUACCAUAUAUUAUUACUCAUUAUACUUUCAUUAUAAUAUAAUAUAUAUAUAUAUAUAUACCCAAAAGUAUAAAGUAUUAAAAAAAAUUGUCUCGGAGGCGCUGCCCCCGAACCCUCGCCAAUUUUUUUUAUAAUUUAGUAAUAAUUUCGACCUCACUAAUAAAAACUUCUGGCUUCGCCACUGAUUAUAACCAAAAAAUUGAAACCCUAACAUUAGCUUUUAAUUAGAAGUUGAUACAUAAUGUUUGUGACAAAGUACUUAAAACAGUCGACGGUAUUGGCAAGGAGACCUCACAUUUCCCCGGAAGAGCCUUCGCGCGCUGAACUAACCCGUUUCAGCUUCUGGGAUGCAUUUUUUAUGCAGUUACAAGCCUUCUGUUUGUCAACAGUAGUAGUUGCAGCAGAUUAAGGGGUGUUUGAUAAAAAUCGAAUGAAUCUGAAUCUGUAUCUGAAUGAGCUGAAUCUGAAUCUGAAUGAAAAAAAUUAUUUUAUAAUUGACAUGUCUGAAACAUCUGAAUAACAGAUUUUUAUUAUUUUAUCCCUCUGAAAAAAUUUAAAAUUGUUAUAAAUUUAUUUAAUAUUACUUAAUAUAAUAUAAUAGUUAAUAUUGUCAAAAAAAAAAAUCAUUCAGUCGUCAAUUAGUCCAUUCAAAAAAAAUGGGACUUAGCCAUUCGGUCCAAAUUGUCUAAAUAGCUGAUCGAUUCAAUCAUUCAGACAAUUUUUUUCCCGAAAUAAACGCACUGAAUGGCUGAAUCGGUCAGUCGUUCAGCCAUUCAGUGCUAAUCAAACAGCCCGAAAUAGCUGAGACUCCAGCGCAAGAGAGAGUUGUUGGCUUGCCACUGCCGAUUUGCAAGUAAAAACAUGGCCUCAGGUUAUUACUUACAUUGCUGCAUGUAACUGCAGCAUAUGAAGAAGGCAGGAGAUAGCAGUAGUAGAAGAAGAAGGAUAAGGACAGUAGUCAUGUUGAAAGGGAUAUAUGGCUUUAUUGAAAGAUUUCAUGGUGUAGGGGAAUUAAAAAGUGGGCAGAAAAGAAAGUAAAAAGAGUAAGUUGAUGUGUUGUAUUAUGUUUAUGUUUUGUGCUGGUUAUAGGAGAUUUUGGGACGCUCACUACUGCAAGAAAUUUAGCUAAAAGAUUUGUGUGUAAAUAUACGGUAUUUAGAUCCGCCCUCUGUCUCUUUCUCGAUCUUAUUCACCGUCUAAUUAAUGUAUUGAUGUCACGUAAUACUUAUUCAUUUAAAAAAUUAAUCGUAUAUAAAUAAAUAAUUUAUAUUACACUUGACAACAAUAUAUAAUAUGAUACAAGAGAUGAGACAGAGAACGUGAGAGAAGAUUUAGACUUAUAUACACACAUUGAGUAGUACCUUAUUCUGAGAGAUAUAUGAAUAAGCUAUAUCCUUAAUAUAUUUAUAUUUUUAAUAAGUUCUUAUAUUCUGCAUGAAGAGUAGUAUAUACGCACUUUUUCAAAUAAUUUACGAAGUCAAAAUUUAUUUGGUGGAAUUUAUAAGGUUUUUGCACACAAUUAAUCUAUAUUAAGUGGAUGUAAAUUCACUACAAGAAAAAGAGUCAUUGAUGACGGGUUUAUUGGCGACGGCAUAUGUCCUGUCGCUAAUGACCUUAAUCUAAUUGUUUUUGCACACAAUUAAUAUUGGUUUUUUCAGUUAAUCCUGAACAUGUUCAAUUCUACUAUUUGAUUUCUGGUUCAGGCACAUGCAACAAUCAGGUACAUACAAACAGAUUUUUCAUUCAUAUUCCAAAGGAAAGGGUGCUCCAAUUUCAAACAAACACAACUGUAAUAUUGCAAUAUUAAUAACCUCACUGGUUUUCCACCUGAAAAGUGAAAAUACAUUAAUUUGAUACAAAACAAGAUGUGACAACUCUAGAUCAUGCAUGCAUAUAGCUCAAAUGAUCCAUAAACCAAAUAUUACUAGAAAAAUUAAUAUUACAUGCAUGGGUACAUCCCAAAUAUUAUUGAAACAUGAUAUAGGACAAGCUUUUCCCUUCAGAUCAUGCUGCUUCAGAUUUAGGUAAUCCUGCAAACAAAAGGUGACCAAAACAAGAAAAACAAAAGGUUAAUUAAUUUAAAACACGGGGCAUGACAUAUUCUAUAAAUUAAUAGAAAAGAAAAUGUGUUGACUUUUGUUGUGAGUACAGUCUCCAAAUUAAUAUAGUUACAUGGGUAAUUGAUUAAUUGCCUCUAUUGUAUACUGACAACCAAUUAUUUUAUCAGACUCAGAUCGGUUAUCGAAUCGAAAAAUUUAUUGGGUAGUCUAUCAUUGUUUCAACUGGUGGAACCAUUAUCGUACCCGGCGAUGUCAUAAAUACAUUAAAAAUGUACUAUUAAUAAUUAAUAAAAUUUUAAAACAUUGUUUUUUCGAUAUAGUAAUAUUAUAUAAUGAAGUUGUGUUGGAAUAUGACUAAACAUGUUUGAUCUCACAAUAAAAAAAAAAAAAANNNNNNNNNNNNNNNNNNNNNNNNNNNNNNNNNNNNNNNNNNNNNNNNNNNNNNNNNNNNNNNNNNNNNNNNNNNNNNNNNNNNNNNNNNNNNNNNNNNNGAAGAAAGUGUCGAUACUCCGGCGCAACACGGAAUUGGUGGCUUACCGCUGCCACUCUGGAGGUAGCUAACACAAGGCCUAAGAUCCUUAAUAACAUCACUGCAUGUAAUUGCAGCGUUUGAAGAUAAUGGAGCUAGAAUUAGAAGAAGAAGAAGAAGAAGUAGAAUAGGCAUGGCGAAAGGGAUUGCUUGACUGAAAGAUUUCAUGAUUUAGGGAAGAAUUAAAGAAGUGAAAGCUGAUUAAGAGUAAGUUGAUCAUGUGUUGGCUUAUUUUUGGUCGGGGUUUUAUAUAUAUAUAGGAGAUUUAGGGAAGUCUACUAGUGCAAGAAAGUUAGAGCACAUGUUUGAUUUAAGAGGUGGAGUGCAAGAAAAGAGAGAUGUUUGUUUUAUUUUGUGAUUAUUUUA
RNAcentral lists this long non-coding RNA (7272 nucleotides) under Panax ginseng (ginseng). RNAcentral's name for it is "long non-coding RNA (PGIN_LNC002225)". The record is from RNAcentral. Lineage: Eukaryota; Viridiplantae; Streptophyta; Magnoliopsida; Apiales; Araliaceae.